Molecule: long non-coding RNA, 587 nt
Organism: Jaculus jaculus (lesser Egyptian jerboa)
Lineage: Eukaryota; Metazoa; Chordata; Mammalia; Rodentia; Dipodidae
Exons: 2
Source: RefSeq, a predicted model, not a curated record
GCACGGUCCUGCUGUGGAGGGAGGGUCCAAGGGGCGCCAAGGUAGACGGCCACGCGCGCAGCAGGCGGAUGGCCGCAUUGCAUCUUAAGGCUCUCCCCAGUGAUGAAACACAUCUUCCCAUUGCACAGAGGGAGCCACUGAGGCAAACGCAGGCCUUCAAGGUCGUGCCUCCCGUCAAGGUCGGGCGGAGUUUCGCGACCUACUCUGCGCGCCGGAAAUGCAGACCGGCGUCUGCGGGCAGAGAGAGAGAGGGAGAGACCGAGGAGGAAGCCAUUUAAACAGGAGAGCCUGGCACAGCCCUACCUGUGACUUUUCUUUCACUAUCUACAUUGUCGCAGCGGCGACCUGGCUCUUAGGUCAGCACACAGGCACGAAUACGAAUGCUUCUCUGCGUGGUGGCACACGUCUGUAAUUCCAGCCCACGACUGAGGCAGAAGGAUCGUGGGUUCAGACCAACCUUGUCUUUUUUUUUUUUUUUUAACAUUUUCCAUGAUUAUAAAAUAUAUCCCAUGGUAAUUCCCUCCCCAACCUUGUCUUUUUUAAGAAAGUCUUUUCAAAAAAUAAAGAAGUGUGCAUGCGUUUUUCAA